Molecule: ribosomal RNA, 460 nt
Filed under: uncultured bacterium
Lineage: Bacteria
Description: partial 16S ribosomal RNA
Rfam family: Bacterial small subunit ribosomal RNA
Source: RNAcentral
CCUACGGGUGGCAGCAGUGAGGAAUAUUGGUCAAUGGGCGCGAGUCUGAACCAGCCAAGUAGCGUGCAGGAUGACGGCCCUAUGGGUUGUAAACUUCUUUUAUAAAGGAAUAAAGUGAGGCACGUGUGCCUUUUUGUAAGUAACGUAUGAAUAAGGAUCGGCUAACUCCGUGCCAGCAGCCGCGGUAAUACGGAGGAUCCGAGCGUUAUCCGGAUUUAUUGGGUUUAAAGGGUGCGUAGAUGGGUUGUUAAGUUAGUUGUGAAAGGUUGGGGCUCAACCGUAAAAUUGCAAUUGAUACUGGCAGUCUUGAGUACAGUUGAGGUAGGCGGAAUGCGUGGUGUAGCGGUGAAAUGCUUAGAGAUCACAAAGAACUCCGAUUGCGAAGGCAGCUUACUAAACUACCCCUGACAUUGAUGCUCGAAAGUGUGGGUAUCAAACAGGAUUAGAUACCCGAGUAGUC